This is a long non-coding RNA of Calidris pugnax (ruff), 915 nucleotides long. RefSeq lists it as uncharacterized. Lineage: Eukaryota; Metazoa; Chordata; Aves; Charadriiformes; Scolopacidae. The transcript is spliced from 4 exons. The record is from RefSeq and is a predicted model, not a curated record.
GCAGAACCACCUCUCUGGACCUGCUAGCAACGCAUCUUUUGAUGCAGCCCAGGAUGUGAUUGGCCUCCUGGGCUGCAACCGCACACUGCCUGCUCAUGUCCAGCUUCUCGAUGGCCCCCUUUGCUUCCCCUCACACCCCCCAGCCCCAGCAGGAUGAUAUGAAGAACCUUUGCCCCCUCUCCUCCUUGGAGCCCUGGCCCAGUCCAGCAGUGGAGCCCCUCAGCCAGGACCCCCCCACAGGAGCAAGGGCACAGAGACCCAUGUAUGUGCAGCUGCCCCCCAUAACCCCCCCAGCCAUGGAGAUGCACAAGAAGCAGCGCUUCCAGGACCUUGUCCGCACUUUCAAAGCCUGGAAAAAGAAAAUGGCUCAGCGUGCAAACCCACCGACAGGGAGCGUGGCCAGGGGGCCCCAGGGCUGUGCCUGGCAGGACGGUGCCUGCAGCGGGGCUGCGCCCGGCUGUGGGGUGCUGUGGGGGCUGCAGUGUGGGGCCGGGAGCUGCUCCCGUCUCACCCAGCUCCUCGGGGUCCUUGCAGAGCUGCUGUACGAAGUCUAAGGGAGAAACAAGGGAGGCGAGUGCUGUGUUGGAGGAGCAGAAUGUCUCUCGGGUGGCAGAGGAAGGAACAGGAAAAAAGUGCUCUCUGGAGAAGCAGCCAAGUGUGGAGGUGUCGAUGGGGGACUGCCUGGCCCCACUGGACUCUGUGCCCUCCCAACCCCCCCGGGACCCCCGGAUGCCCCGCUCCAUUCUACGCAAUAAGGCAGAGGAGCAGUUGUCCCCCGGCAACCCCCCACAGAGGAGGAAACAGAAGAGGGUGCGCUUCCUGGAAGACAAUCCCACCUUCUUGUCCAUCGAGUGGUGGAAUAAGAAACAGAGGAAGAGGAGGUGGGAGAAAAAACGGCAGGAGAUGAAGAAGGCA